Molecule: ribosomal RNA, 1438 nt
Filed under: uncultured Klebsiella sp.
Lineage: Bacteria; Pseudomonadati; Pseudomonadota; Gammaproteobacteria; Enterobacterales; Enterobacteriaceae
Description: bacterial SSU rRNA
Rfam family: Bacterial small subunit ribosomal RNA
Source: RNAcentral
GGCAUGCGGCAGCUACAAUGCAGUCGAGCGGUAGCACAGAGAGCUUGCUCUCGGGUGACGAGCGGCGGACGGGUGAGUAAUGUCUGGGAAACUGCCUGAUGGAGGGGGAUAACUACUGGAAACGGUAGCUAAUACCGCAUAACGUCGCAAGACCAAAGUGGGGGACCUUCGGGCCUCAUGCCAUCAGAUGUGCCCAGAUGGGAUUAGCUAGUAGGUGGGGUAACGGCUCACCUAGGCGACGAUCCCUAGCUGGUCUGAGAGGAUGACCAGCCACACUGGAACUGAGACACGGUCCAGACUCCUACGGGAGGCAGCAGUGGGGAAUAUUGCACAAUGGGCGCAAGCCUGAUGCAGCCAUGCCGCGUGUGUGAAGAAGGCCUUCGGGUUGUAAAGCACUUUCAGCGGGGAGGAAGGCGAUAAGGUUAAUAACCUUGUCGAUUGACGUUACCCGCAGAAGAAGCACCGGCUAACUCCGUGCCAGCAGCCGCGGUAAUACGGAGGGUGCAAGCGUUAAUCGGAAUUACUGGGCGUAAAGCGCACGCAGGCGGUCUGUCAAGUCGGAUGUGAAAUCCCCGGGCUCAACCUGGGAACUGCAUUCGAAACUGGCAGGCUAGAGUCUUGUAGAGGGGGGUAGAAUUCCAGGUGUAGCGGUGAAAUGCGUAGAGAUCUGGAGGAAUACCGGUGGCGAAGGCGGCCCCCUGGACAAAGACUGACGCUCAGGUGCGAAAGCGUGGGGAGCAAACAGGAUUAGAUACCCUGGUAGUCCACGCCGUAAACGAUGUCGAUUUGGAGGUUGUGCCCUUGAGGCGUGGCUUCCGGAGCUAACGCGUUAAAUCGACCGCCUGGGGAGUACGGCCGCAAGGUUAAAACUCAAAUGAAUUGACGGGGGCCCGCACAAGCGGUGGAGCAUGUGGUUUAAUUCGAUGCAACGCGAAGAACCUUACCUGGUCUUGACAUCCACAGAACUUAGCAGAGAUGGUUUGGUGCCUUCGGGAACUGUGAGACAGGUGCUGCAUGGCUGUCGUCAGCUCGUGUUGUGAAAUGUUGGGUUAAGUCCCGCAACGAGCGCAACCCUUAUCCUUUGUUGCCAGCGGUUCGGCCGGGAACUCAAAGGAGACUGCCAGUGAUAAACUGGAGGAAGGUGGGGAUGACGUCAAGUCAUCAUGGCCCUUACGACCAGGGCUACACACGUGCUACAAUGGCAUAUACAAAGAGAAGCGACCUCGCGAGAGCAAGCGGACCUCAUAAAGUAUGUCGUAGUCCGGAUUGGAGUCUGCAACUCGACUCCAUGAAGUCGGAAUCGCUAGUAAUCGUAGAUCAGAAUGCUACGGUGAAUACGUUCCCGGGCCUUGUACACACCGCCCGUCACACCAUGGGAGUGGGUUGCAAAAGAAGUAGGUAGCUUAACCUUCGGGAGGGCGCUACCACUUGAUCGGCG